GGCACCAAAAAACAAAAACCAGUUCCAUAUUCUUGGUGGCCUUUGCAUGUAGCAUGAUAAAUAAAAAAAAAAAACAGAGAUAGAUAUUGUGGUUCAAAUUUCAAGCUGAAGGUGAGAGAAGCAAAGCAGUCAACCCACUAACUCUUACCUCUACCAAAUAGAUAUCAUGAGCGGAAGAUGGUUUGACCUACCCCUCAUGGUAAUGUUGGGGGACAACGUUGUACUGUUUCUUCCCCUAAAGGGUGAAAUAGUCACUUUUGGUCCAGUGAAGAUCCUGUGUCCAGGUGUGAAGAGGCCUGGAAUUGGAAAAUGACCCAAGGCUGUUUUUCUGCUGUGUCUGGUAAUCAUAUCUAUGCAGUCUGGUGUUCAACCUUGCAAUGAACCUUCCUUGGAGUAAAUAAGAGCACCCAUCUUGAGUAUCUACGGAAUAACUAAGGGGAAAUAUAGGGAGUAGAGGAGUACAUGAUUAAUGGUAUGGUGCUGAUCUGGCCAUGUCAAGGAGUUCAAGACUGCAGACACAUGGGAAAUUGGCAAAGUCAUUUUCUUAUAGAGGCAUGUCUCCAGAUGGAUGCAAGUUUUCAUUGAGGGUACGUGGGCAAUAGAAACAGCAUUCUAUAUCAACAAGUCUUAACUGACACAGGACACCACGUGUGUGGUGGUUUGAAUAAGAACGGUUCCCAUAGUAUAUUUGAAUGCUUAAUCAUCAGGGAAGGGUUAGGAGGUGUGACCUUGUUGAAGGAACUGUGUCACUGAGGGUGGGCUUUGAAGUUUCAAAAGAACAAGCCAGGCCCAGUGUCACUCAGUUUCUGCUGCUCAUGGAUCCAGAUGUAAAACUCUCAGCUGUUUCUCCAGCACCAUGUCUGCCUGUGUGCUCCCCUGUUCGCCUACCACAAUGAUAGUAGACUAAACCUCUGAAACUGUGAGUCCCAAUUAAAUGCUUUCUUUUAUAAAA
Mesocricetus auratus (golden hamster) is the source of this 952-nucleotide long non-coding RNA. RefSeq lists it as uncharacterized. The transcript is spliced from 2 exons. The record is from RefSeq and is a predicted model, not a curated record. Lineage: Eukaryota; Metazoa; Chordata; Mammalia; Rodentia; Cricetidae.